GAUGAACGCUGGCGGCGUGCCUAACACAUGCAAGUCGAACGAUGAACCAGGGCUUGCCCUGGGGAUUAGUGGCGAACGGGUGAGUAACACGUGGGCAACCUGCCCCAGACACCGGGAUAACCUCUCGAAAGAGUGGCUAAUACCGGAUACGACCACUUUGGGCAUCCAACGGUGGUGGAAAGGAUUCUGGUCUGGGAUGGGCCCGCGGCCUAUCAGCUUGUGGGUGGGGUAAUGGCCUACCAAGGCGACGACGGGUAGCCGGCCUGGGAGGGGGACCGGCCACACUGGGGCUGAGACACGGCCCAGACUCCUACGGGAGGCAGCAGUGGGGAAUAUUGCGCAAUGGGCGAAAGCCUGACGCAGCGACGCCGCGUGAGGGACGAAGGUCUUCGGAUUGUAAACCUCUUUCAGUAGGGACGAAGCGAAAGUGACUGUACCUGCAGAAGAAGCACCGGCUAACUACGUGCCAGCCGCCGCGGUAA
This 482-nucleotide ribosomal RNA is filed under the name uncultured bacterium. RNAcentral's name for it is "partial 16S ribosomal RNA". It matches the Rfam family "Bacterial small subunit ribosomal RNA", at positions 28 to 523 of the family's 1533-position model. The record is from RNAcentral.